UACGUAGGGGGCAAGCGUUGUCCGGAAUCAUUGGGCGUAAAGCGCGUGUAGGCGGCUCGAUAAGUCUGCUGUGAAAGUCCAGGGCUCAACCCUGGGAUGCCGGUGGAUACUGUCGAGCUCGAGUCCGGAAGAGGCGAGUGGAAUUCCUGGUGUAGCGGUGAAAUGCGCAGAUAUCAGGAGGAACACCGGUGGCGAAGGCGGAUCUCUGGGCCUUGCCUGACGCUGAGGCGCGAAAGCUAGGGGAGCGAACAGG
Molecule: ribosomal RNA, 253 nt
Filed under: uncultured bacterium
Lineage: Bacteria
Description: partial 16S ribosomal RNA
Rfam family: Bacterial small subunit ribosomal RNA
Source: RNAcentral